UCUAAGUAUAACCUGCCAGACAGGGAAACUGCGUACGGCUCAUUACACCAGCCUUAAUUUACUUGACCUUGACAACCUACUUGGAUAACUGUGGUUAUUCUAGAGCUAAUACAUGCACCAAAGCUCCGAUCCUCGCGGAGAGGAGCGCAUUUGUUCGCCACAAAACCAAGCGCCCAUCUGGGCGUCCAGUGCUGAACCAGAACAACUCAGCUGAUCGCACGGUCUUGUACCGGCGACGUGUCUUUCAAGUGUCUGCCUUAUCAACUUUCGAUGGUAGUGUACCUGACUACCAUGGUUGUGACGGGUAACGGAGGAUAAGGGUUCGACUCCGGAGAAGGGGCCUGAGAAAUGGCCACUACGUCUAAGGAUGGCAGCAGGCGCGCAAAUUACCCACUCUCAACGCGAGGAGGUAGUGACGAGAAAUAACGAGACCGUUCUCAUACGAGGCCGGUUAUUGGAAUGGGUACAAUUUAAA
This 475-nucleotide ribosomal RNA is filed under the name unidentified nematode Sourhope farm. Its description in RNAcentral is "SSU rRNA". It matches the Rfam family "Eukaryotic small subunit ribosomal RNA", at positions 58 to 529 of the family's 1831-position model. The record is from RNAcentral. Lineage: Eukaryota; Metazoa; Nematoda.